Molecule: long non-coding RNA, 5143 nt
Filed under: Arachis ipaensis
Lineage: Eukaryota; Viridiplantae; Streptophyta; Magnoliopsida; Fabales; Fabaceae
Description: long non-coding RNA (AIPA_LNC001144)
Source: RNAcentral
UUGAUAUUCAUAAUAAACUUCCAUCUUAACCUGUUAUGUUGAAACCAUAAAAAUGUGUACGAAGCAUUGAUUUUUAAACUAUAACAAGGAAAAAUAAUUCUCAAAUAUCCAAAUCUGACAGCCCAGGUACAUCAUCAGAUUCAUUUUCAGGGGCCGCAUCACUGCAGAACUUGCAAGAAAUUUUCUCUGGUUUCAACUGCAAGCAUUCGUCGAUCUGUUCCUCUAACCAAGCAUGUCUUCUUUCGAGCUUCAACACACCAAUAUGCAUAAUCCGAACGUCAACUUGUGCAAAUUUUGUAAUUCUUCUGACACUUGCGUCUAUCCAGUCUCAAAAUAAAUCCCAAUUUGAACUGACUCUUCUUCAACUUGUUUUGCUAGUCAUUUUACCAUAGACAUUCGAAAUAAACAAUCUUCAAUUACGUCAUUCCAAGCCCAAGGUCGGAGGAAAUUAUUGAAGCAAAUAUCUGAGCAAUCCCUUGGCUCCGGUAUUAUCUAAUGGUGCUUAAUUGUUGGUUAUAGACUUGGCCAGCUGCUAGUAACAAAACUUGAAACAAAAUAAACAAAGAACUCUUAGUCAUAAUCAAAAUCACCAAGAUACAUAUACACUUGGAUUUCACACUUGACCAGAUAAAAAGGCUACAGACACAAAUAUGUAAAAUAAUCAGUAUCCCAAAAGGCGAACUGCUUUGGCUCUGGCAAAAAAAUAACCAGAUUACUAAGGAUCCAUGCUGCGAGAAUUUGAAUACUAAGAUAAGUACAAUCAACCAAAAGUUUAUCAAUUUAAUAGUAAACGAUCUGAAUUGGAUAUCACAUCAUCAUAAUGAUACUAAAGAUUCUAAUCAUAUGAUGUCCAAGUUCAGGCAGAGUCAUUUCCAAAUAAAAAACCACGGACAUACAACAUGCCUUCAGAUUCAGAACUUAAAUCAGAAUUCUCCACUACAACUACUAAGUUCUCUUACUUAUAUGGGGGAAAUUUGUCAAGCAGAGAUCAUGUUUAACAUUUUGGUCCACCAGAAGGAGAGUUUUGACUGUUCAUUGGAGUCGAUUGCUGCAUAGGUACUCCCUGACUUUGGUUCCAGUCCUGUCUUUGAACAGGGUCUCUCCUUUCAACCUGCAUUGUUUCACGACGCCUGUCAUGCCGUGGCCGAGGUCUACUCCUAGUUGGUUGCCUCUCAGAAUAUCUAUACUGCGGCCUUGGAAUCACUUUCCCAUCAACAAAUAAGUCACCUGAAAAUUCAUGUUACAUGAUCAAAACAACCAAUAAUUUUAAAAAAAAAAAAAAGAAAGAAUGAUCAAACAAUCAAAUUACAUGUUGAUUAUGUCAGGGUCCAAAACUCACCCCCAUAGUCCUUGUUGGGAACAUCAAGAUAUGAAUCCGGCAGCACCCAAAGAACUCCAGGUAACUCUAUUAAGGCAGGAAAAAUAGCAAUAGUUAAGCAUAUGAAACAACACACAAUUAUACAGAAUGAAUGACAGGCAAAUAAAUGUGAAACACCAAUUCUGAUUAUCCAAAAAAAUAUAUAGAGAGAGAACAGAUACAGAUAUAGUAUUUUUUUGGUGACAGAUACAGAUAUAGUAUGAUACUUGUGCCCUAACUCCAAAAGGUAUUUAAAUUUAAACAUCACAGAAAUAAUUUGAGGAGUCUUUUAAAUACAAAGCAAUUAUGAUAUCAAAAAUGCUUUGCAAAUCAGAAUUUAACACAUGCAAGCAAUGAAAACAAAUCUAAUAAGCUUCGACAUUAAUGAAAGACAAGAGCUGAUGGGAAGAGGAAUCAGAAAGAAAGUAGCGGUAAAAACCUACCUUUAACUUUGUAAGAAAGCUCUUCGGAAAUGAGGGCGCCAAAACCAGUAUAUGUAGUAGUGGAAACAGAGUAUAUCUUCUUCUUAGCCUCUUCCUCACUACAUAGUUAGCAGAAAACUCAAAAAUCAAAACAGGAGGAAAGAAAAAAGAAGCAAAUUAGGCAUUGAGGUUGAGAAAGAAGGACCUUCCAAGAACUUGAGCUAGUGUUUUGACAUAGGCAUCAACCAUUUGUUGUUCGGAGGGUUUGGGAUUCUCGGGGAACUCCAUGACGAUGAGCCAGUGCUCGUAGUCGCAGCCAUCGAGAAGAAUAGUCUCCUUGGGCGGACGGUUGCUCCAAUUGGGAGAGGGAUCGUUCAGCGGCGAGUAACCCGAACCCGACGACUUGGUCCGAACCCGGUGGAGCCUCGCACAAUCAGGAACCGGUAGUGUUUGUUUGGCGGCACACAGAGCAAAAGGCAAGCGAGAACGAGAUCGAGAAACGGUUGCAGGUGCAGAGGAAGACGAAGAGAGAGCUCGUGAGAGCGUAGAUGCUAGGAUGCGCCGGGCGUUCCAGUACGCCAUUUGCUGUUCCUUGCUCCAGCCUAAGGAAGGGGUGAUGUUUUUUUGUAUUCCUCUUUUUGUUCUCUUGGACCCUUGGGCCGUUGGGCCACUUUGUCAACCCAAAUAAUUAAAGGAAGAAUCUCUUUAAACCCUAUCGUUAAUCUAACAACAAAAUAUUCAUUUCAUUCACAGUGACAACAAUCGAUAGCAACAAGAUCACACAUCUCAUAUCUUAUAAUCAUCAUCAAAUCCAAAAUCAAUAACAAGAAUCUGAAAUAAUAAUCUCUAUAUGACGCAUAGCAACACAAACACAAAGCAAAGAAAGUGCGAAAACAUACUGUAUCCAUUGUCAACAAGGUAAUUGAAGGCGUGAUUAUCGCAGUUGUAGGUGAACUUGUUGUUGGUAGCGGGUAGCUUCUGAAGGCACUGGAAAGCGAUGGAGUUGAAGUUCCCUGAAAAUUCAGUGUACUCGGCGAGAAUCACGGUCCCGCGAGAAACGAAAGCGUAGAUCAGCGACCUCUGAUUCUACCCCAUCGAUGAAUCGAAAUUCCGAAAAUUUGAACCAGUAACAAUAAAUCAGUGAAUUGAUGAUUUACAGCCUAAUUAAAAACUAAAUUCAACUAAUUAUACCAAAUCAAUAGCACCUAUGUAAGAAUCAAAUCAGUCAAUACAGCCUUAGACUUCAAAGGGAAUAAUUUUGAGUAUUUACCAUUUGGGGCAGGAAGAAGAAUAUGCCCUGGCAUGACUUUUGGUGUUGCCAGCGUUACACUUCCUUUGGCUCUCUUACUUUACCAUUUCAAUUGGGAACUCCCCAGUGGGAUGAAGCCUGAAGAUGUAGACAUGACUGAACUCGCUGGCUUGGCAAUUGGAAGAAAACAUGCCUUGUGUUUUUUUGGUGACUUUUUAAUUUUUUUUGGUGACUAAACAUGCCUUGUGUUUGAUUCCCACUGUUUAUAAUCCAUAACUUUAUCAUAAUGUUCUCAUUUAGUUUUUUGUUCUAGUUACCAACAUCUAUGUGAUGCCAUCAUAGUAUUGUAUGUUAGCUCUAGUAUUGCACUCGUAGAAAAACAAAUUAGGAUUCGCAGCCAAGUUAAUUUAUAGUAGUUCAUAAAUAUUUCUUUUAUGUCAUUUUUUAAUUAUACGGGUGUGGUUGGUCAUAAAGUUUAUACUCAUAGGGAGCUUCUAUGAUGCUGAAAGAAAAAUCCUUCAGCAGCUGUUGACGCUACAUGUCAUUUGGUGGGGCGAACACGUAUUCCGUUAAAGUGUUUCAUUAAUUAUUUUUGGAACAACUGCAGUCGAUGGCAGAUGGUUCAGUAUGAGAUCUUACGUUCGACCAUAGUGUGUCAUAAGUUGUGGUUAAGAAAUAGAUUAAAAUAUGAUAAUAACUUUAAUUUAAGAAAAUAAAUUUAAUAUGAUAAUGAUAUUUUUUUUUUGUUCUGUUUAUUCAGAAUGGACGUAUGUCAAGACAUUGUCUGGCCAGAGAGUAUGUUGUGCAAGUUAAAAAAUAUUAUUGGAUCAUUGUUGCCUUAAGAAACAUAAAAAUGAAUUUCUAAAUAAUAAAAAAAAGAAAUGAAUCCAUUCCAAUAUUUAAGAAAAACAAAUGAGUUAAGAAAUUUAAUUUUUUAAAAUAUGUACUAAUAUUUGAAAAUUCAAAUGAUAACAAAUAACAGUCUCGUAUAGUAUAUACUUAUUACGUGUUCCUUCUAAUGAUAUUUCAUAAUUGACAAUUACAUUUAAUUUAUAUAUUGAAAAAUAUUUCCAUCUCAAAUUUCACAUAAUAUUUUAUUAACAUUAUUAUAAUGACAUUUUAUAUUUUAUAACAAUUUCAAAAUUUUAUUACACUUGUAUAUAAUAUUUUACAAUUUUUUAUAAUUAUUUUUAAUAACCAUUAAAAAAAUAAUAAAUAAAAAGCCUAAUCAUUUAUAUCCAAUUUUUUCAAUAUCUAAAAUUUUGAAACCAUAUUUUAUCAUCUCAUAUCGCUGAUGUACUUGUAAUUAUAACUCUCGUUAUUAACUAUAAUUUAUUUUGUGAUUUUUCUUGUAUUCAUUAGACUAUAUUAAGAAAAAUAUACUUUUUUGGUAUACAAAAAAAAUAUAUUAAUUACAUUACAUCUAAAAUUACAUCAUCCGAGAUAAUACAAAUUUAACAAUUUUGGUUCAACCUAAGUUUUUUUUCUAUCUGUAGGCCCACUGUCCUUUAAAUUUUUUUAACAGUUUUAUUUUUAUCUUUUCUUCAUGCAAAAAUGAUUCCAAAAUCUUCCUUAACCUGUUUUUUGGUGAUCAGAUAAGUUUAUCUAUGUCCAAAUUUCAAAACCACCAGAUAUAAAAUAAAUAAAUAUUAUAAUUAUUUUGACUAACUAAAGUCAAUAGUGUUACUUAUAAGUUAGAAUGCACAUUUUCUGAAACAGGGGACCCACAACUGAACACGAUCAGAUAACACUCAUCCAAUAUACAAAACACUACUUCGAACACGGGUAUGACACGUUGCAUCAGCAAGUGCUGAAGAAUCUUUCGUUCAGCACGUUAGAAUUUUCCUCAUAAUAAACUUCCAUCUUAACCUGUUAUGUUUGAAACCAUAAAAAUGUGUACGAAGCAUUGAUUUUUAAACUAUAACAAGGAAAAAUAAUUCUCAAAUAUCCAAAUCUGACAGCCCAGGUACAUCAUCAGAUUCAUUUUCAGGGGACGCAUCACUGCAGAACUUGCAAGAAAUUUUCUCUGGUUUCAACUGCAAGCAUUCGUUGAUCUGUUCCUCUAACCAAGCAAGUCUUCUUUCGAGCUUCAACACACCAAUAUGCAUAAUCCGA